This 389-nucleotide ribosomal RNA is filed under the name uncultured bacterium. Its description in RNAcentral is "bacterial SSU rRNA". It matches the Rfam family "Bacterial small subunit ribosomal RNA", at positions 29 to 420 of the family's 1533-position model. The record is from RNAcentral.
AUUAAACGCUGGCGGCAUGCCUUACACAUGCAAGUCGAACGGUAGCGCGGGGCAACCUGGCGACGAGUGGCGAACGGGUGAGUAAAGCAUCGGAACGUGCCCUGGAAUGGGGGAUAACGUAGCGAAAGUUACGCUAAUACCGCAUAUUCUGUGAGCAGGAAAGCAGGGGAUCGCAAGACCUUGCGUUCUGGGAGCGGCCGAUGUCGGAUUAGCUAGUUGGUGGGGUAAAAGCCUACCAAGGUGACGAUCCGUAGCGGGUCUGAGAGGAUGAUCCGCCACACUGGGACUGAGACACGGCCCAGACUCCUACGGGAGGCAGCAGUGGGGAAUUUUUGGACAAUGGGCGGAAGCCUGAUCCAGCCAUGCCGCGUGAGUGAAGAAGGCCUCGG